AUUUAUAUAGUUUAAAUAUUAAAACAUUUCAUUUUCAAUGAAAAAAUAAGAUGAUUCUUUAUAAA
Molecule: transfer RNA, 65 nt
Filed under: Tuxedo flavicollis
Lineage: Eukaryota; Metazoa; Arthropoda; Insecta; Hemiptera; Miridae
Description: tRNA-Glu
Source: RNAcentral